AGAGUUUGAUCAUGGCUCAGGAUGAACGUUGGCGGCGUGCCUAACACAUGCAAGUCGAACGGCAAUAGCAAUAUUGGAGUGGCGCACGGGUGAGUAACACGUAGCUAAUCUACCUCAAAGCGCGGGAUAACGUGUCGAAAGACAGGCUAAUACCGCAUAAGCUCGCGAUCUGUAGAGGGUUGCGAGAAAAGGCGCAAGUCACUUUGAGAUGAGGCUGCGGCCCAUCAGCUAGUUGGUGAGGUAAAAGCUUACCAAGGCAACGACGGGUAGGGGACCUGAGAGGGUGACCCCCCACACUGGGACUGAGACACGGCCCAGACUCCUACGGGAGGCAGCAGUGAGGAAUAUUGCACAAUGGGCGCAAGCCUGAUGCAGCGACGCCGCGUGGGUGAAGAAGGUUUUCGGAUCGUAAAACCCUUUUCUGUGUGACGAGCAAGGACGGUAGCACAGGAAUAAGUCUCGGCUAACUACGUGCCAGCAGCCGCGGUAAUUC
RNAcentral lists this ribosomal RNA (493 nucleotides) under uncultured bacterium. Its description in RNAcentral is "bacterial SSU rRNA". It matches the Rfam family "Bacterial small subunit ribosomal RNA", at positions 8 to 526 of the family's 1533-position model. The record is from RNAcentral.